RNAcentral lists this long non-coding RNA (818 nucleotides) under Carica papaya (papaya). RNAcentral describes it as "long non-coding RNA (CPAP_LNC010050)". Lineage: Eukaryota; Viridiplantae; Streptophyta; Magnoliopsida; Brassicales; Caricaceae. The record is from RNAcentral.
UUUUUCCUUUUGAUCUUCAUUUUUCCACUCUAAUUUUCUCUCUCUCUUUUCUUUUCUCUUUUCUCUUUUUCUUUUCUUUUUCUCUCGGUCUCUCUUUGUGCGAAUUCAUCAUGGGACUUUUUAAGUUGCAUUUGGUCUUUAAAAACUUGUUUAGGGGUUAAAGGAAGAAGAGUAUACUUUUUGCCCUCUUUUCCUAUCAUGUACCUAUUGAGAUACCCAUCAUGCAUCACUCUCCUAUCCCAUUGCCAUGGUCUACCCAGCAAAAUAUGACUAGCUUGCAUAGGAACUACAUCACAUAUCACCUCAUCACUAUACUUCCCAAUAGUAAAAGGCACCCUCACUUGCUUAUUAACUCUCACCUCCCCACUAUUGUUAAGCCAUUGCAGCUUAUAAGGUUUAGGAUGUUUUGUAGUUUCCAACCCAGUUUAUAAACAAAUAAGGUACUAGCCACAUUUACACAACUACCCCCAUCAAUAAUCAUGCUACACAAUUUUUCAUUCACUAGACAUCUAGAAUGAAAAAUGUUCUCUCUUUGCAACUUAACCCCCUCAUCAUCAUUCCUUACUUGCAUAUUCAAAGCACGUCUAGAAACCAACAAUCUAUCUUCCAUAGGCAAAUCCCUAUCACUACAAUCCUCCACAUUUUCUCAUCAUCUAAAUCAACACCAUCACCACGCAUCACCAUUACCCUUUUAUUCGGGCAUUGAGAUGCAAUAUGACCAAAACCUAAGCCUCUGAAACACUUGAUAUCUCCUAGGAGUUUGGGAGUUAGAAAUACCUUUGUUUUUAUUAUCAUUAGCAUCUUUUGGCUUAGUUUUG